RNAcentral lists this long non-coding RNA (421 nucleotides) under Callithrix jacchus (white-tufted-ear marmoset). Its description in RNAcentral is "lncRNA (ENSCJAG00000077683.1)". The record is from RNAcentral. Lineage: Eukaryota; Metazoa; Chordata; Mammalia; Primates; Cebidae.
UCGAUUUAAUUAAAGUCUAAAAAUCAUAGACCCAGCUCCUAUGCGUCGAGUGAUUUCAGAGCUCUUUCUCUUUGCUGUCUUCGAAGGGUAAUCUGGAUGCUGGAGGGUCGCUCUCUGGCUUGACAAACUCAGUUUGUUUCCAUAGUUACAAAACACUUGUGUUCUCCCGGACCCACAAUCCAUCAGGAGGGGUACGCUGGCUGCCUGGUAACCAUGCCACCAUUUCCUGAAUUCGCAGGAAAUUCAAACAUUAGAAAGGCAUUCUGACAGAUGUGAGAUGAUACCUCACUGUGGUUUGAAUUUACAUUUUCUGACUGAUUCAUGAGGCUGAACAUUGUUUUCAUAUACCUGUUGGCCAUUUGUAUGUCUUCUUUCGAGAAAUGUCUAUUCAGUCAAUAUACUAGAGUGAUGUGACAAACAA